UGUCGUAACAAGGUUUCCGUAGGUGAACCUGCGGAAGGAUCAUUAUCGGUUGGUCUGACUUCGCGUUGGAUAAACUGGUUAAAACCUCGGGACUCGGCCGGCUAACGCUGGCCUGUUCUAGUGGCUGGGGCCUGCCUGCCCUUGCCUGCCACGUCUUGUGCUGGGUGACUGAUAGUUUGUCGGUCGCCUUUGCCUUGACGGCCCGAUGCGGAGGUACUGUAGCCCGUCGAUCCGGAAUGAGAAUUCCAGGAGGGCAUAGCCUCGGUGAACAGUUCAAAGAGCUCUCGCCUUCCGUCGGGUUUUCGAUCUCCCCCUUGUAGGGAUGUGCAGCUGUUAUUUGAUUGAGUUUUACGACUCGCUCGAACUCUACGUUUGAGAAUCCAAAUACAACACUAUACAGUGGAUCAUUUGGCUCGGGGGUCGAUGAAGAACGGAGCUAACUCUGUGAUGCCGUGUGAACUGCAGGACACAUGAACAUCGACACUUUGAACGCAUAUUGCGGAAAUAAGCUUGUCUUGUUUCCAUAUCUGACUCAGGGUCGGUUAAACAUCCAUCGGACGGCUUGCUGUUCGCAUUGGGCGGUCGUUAUGCCUCGGCACAGCGUCGCUCCAAGGUACGCCGUACGGAGUUCACAGACUCGACUCUUGGGAACUUGUGUCCUGGGUCGUGGAAGUGGCCGUAUGCGCUUGGUGCCGGGACUCGACUGACUGUCUCGUAAGCGCCUACAAACUUUACUUUCGACCUGAGAUUAGAUAAGAUUACCCGCCGAAUUUAAGCAUAUUAAUAAGCGGAGGAAAAGAAAACAACUGUGAUAGCCUUAGUAAUGGCGAAUGAAACGGCUACAGGGCAUCGCGGAACCGCAGGUCAUCUUGGCCUCGUGGAAUGUCGCGUUCGGGAGAGUCUUCUCGAGGAGCGGUCUGCCAGUCAAAGUCCAACUUGACAGUGGCCACUGCCCGUAGAGGGUGAUAGGCCCGUAAGGCGGCGGACCCUUCUCGCUGACUUUUUCCCUAGAGUCGGGUUGCUUGGGAGUGCAGCCCAAAGUGCGAGGUAAACUCCUCGUAACCCUAAAUAUGACCCCGAGACCGAUAGCAAACAAGUACGGUGACGGAAGAUUGAAAAGAACUUUGAAGAGAGAGUUCAAUAGUACGUGAAACUGUGUGGUGGUAAACGGAGGGGUUCUCGAAGUUUCUGUGGGGAACUCAGCCUUGGUGUCGCGUGGCUCUGUAGUAUCCGAUCAGCAAUGACGGUGCUGCUUGGCCGACGUGUCUCUCGGGUGCAUUUCCCCCGCAGUUUACGGCAGGAACUGUUCGGAGCGCACCGAAGGCCUCGGGUGAAGUUGUCGGUUCUGCUGGCAGCCCCGGGUGUCCUGGCUUCGCACCGGACAGGUACGUGAGAGGACUCGUAUAGCGAGCAAUGCUCUGUUGCGGUUCUCAUCUCUCUGCCGAGUAGGUCGGUGGCCCCUCCGACCCGUCUUGAAACACGGACCAAGGAGUCUAACAUGUAUGCGAGCCAUUGAGUUGACUAAACUUAGAGGCGCAGUGAAAGCAAAGAGUAGCUUGUCUGCUCGAGGGACGAUCCGCAAGGCGCAGUCCCGCGACUUCCAAUCGACCUCGCAUCGUUGGGAGUACGCAGAGCAUAAAUGUUGGGACCCGAAAGAUGGUGAACUAUGCGUGA
Molecule: ribosomal RNA, 1674 nt
Filed under: Cosmocalanus darwinii
Lineage: Eukaryota; Metazoa; Arthropoda; Copepoda; Calanoida; Calanidae
Description: eukaryotic LSU rRNA
Rfam family: Eukaryotic large subunit ribosomal RNA (bases 739-1674)
Source: RNAcentral